GUGUUUUUUCUGCCCCUUUUAAAACUGAGCUGGAGUGUUCCCGACUCCUCCAUUCGACACCUCUGGCUCCCUUAUUCCCCUCGGUAACAGAUGUUCAUUGUGACGUGAAUGUAAUUUCAGUACCUGCAGAGGAGAAAUGACGACCGGAGCCACCCGAGCUUAAAGGAAGAAUCAGCACAACCUGUUUGAUCCUGCUCCAUACCUCACAAGCCCAGAGGCCUCUCUCAUGUACCUCCCAGUCAUUUCUUCUGUACCUUGAAGAUACCUGUUCUACUUGCACUAUUCUAUGCUACCUGGGAAGGGCAAAAGCUGUCCUCUUCUGUUCCCAUCCAUGAGGGAACAAUUCCAUGCAUGACUUCUAAGCCAAUGAGGGACUGCCUAUCACAGAGGAUGAUGUUCAGUCUGCUUCCUCCUCUCUUCUGGAGACAAACCCUGCCAGAGAAACCAAAACCUGUACCCUAUUGGCUAAACUUUCACCUAAGCAAAGGGAGAGAUACCCAAAGAUGUCUUCUGCCACUGCUCAUUAGAACUGAAGCCAAUGUCACCACAUUGUGAUAGUCAUCA
Lagopus leucura (white-tailed ptarmigan) is the source of this 564-nucleotide long non-coding RNA. RefSeq lists it as uncharacterized. The transcript is spliced from 4 exons. The record is from RefSeq and is a predicted model, not a curated record. Lineage: Eukaryota; Metazoa; Chordata; Aves; Galliformes; Phasianidae.